GACGAACGCUGGCGGCGUGCUUAACACAUGCAAGUCGAACGGAAAGGCCCUGCUUUGGUGGGGUGCUCGAGUGGCGAACGGGUGAGUAACACGUGAGUCACCUGCCUUUGACUUUGGGAUAACUUCAGGAAACUGGGGCUAAUACCGGAUACGAGCUCCUGCUGCAUGGUGGGGGUGGGAUAGUUUCGGCGGUUGGGGAUGGACCCGGGGCUUAUCAGCUUGUUGGUGGGGUAGUGCCUUACCAGGGCUUUGACGGGUAGCCGGCCUGAGAGGGUGCCCGGCAACAUGGGGAAGGAGAUACGGCCCAGAUCCCUAGGGGGGGCAGCGGGGGGGAAUAUGGCACAAGGGGGGAAAGCCGGAGGAAGCAACGCCGCGGGCGGGAGGACGGCCUUCGGGUGGUAAACCGCUUUCGCCGGUGACGAGGCGUGAGUGACGGUAAUGGGGAAGGAAGCACCGGCUAACUACGU
Molecule: ribosomal RNA, 467 nt
Filed under: uncultured bacterium
Lineage: Bacteria
Description: partial 16S ribosomal RNA
Rfam family: Bacterial small subunit ribosomal RNA
Source: RNAcentral